AUUGAACGCUGGCGGCAGGCCUAACACAUGCAAGUCGAACGGUAACAGGAAGCAGCUCGCUGCUUCGCUGACGAGUGGCGGACGGGUGAGUAAUGUCUGGGAAGCUGCCUGAUGGAGGGGGAUAACUACUGGAAACGGUAGCUAAUACCGCAUAAUGUCGCAAGACCAAAGAGGGGGACCUUCGGGCCUCUUGCCAUCGGAUGUGCCCAGAUGGGAUUAGCUUGUUGGUGGGGUAACGGCUCACCAAGGCGACGAUCCCUAGCUGGUCUGAGAGGAUGACCAGCCACACUGGGACUGAGACACGGUCCAGACUCCUACGGGAGGCAGCAGUGGGGAAUAUUGCACAAUGGGCGCAAGCCUGAUGCAGCCAUGCCGCGUGUAUGAAGAAGGCCUUCGGGUUGUAAAGUACUUUCAGCGGGGAGGAAGGGAGUAAAGUUAAUACCUUUGCUCAUUGACGUUACCCGCAGAAGAAGCACCGGCUAACUCCGUG
Molecule: ribosomal RNA, 490 nt
Filed under: uncultured bacterium
Lineage: Bacteria
Description: partial 16S ribosomal RNA
Rfam family: Bacterial small subunit ribosomal RNA
Source: RNAcentral